This 500-nucleotide ribosomal RNA is filed under the name uncultured bacterium. Its description in RNAcentral is "bacterial SSU rRNA". It matches the Rfam family "Bacterial small subunit ribosomal RNA", at positions 173 to 665 of the family's 1533-position model. The record is from RNAcentral.
AUACGUCCUACGGGAGAAAGCAGGGGACCUUCGGGCCUUGCGCUAUCAGAUGAGCCUAGGUCGGAUUAGCUAGUUGGUGGGGUAAUGGCUCACCAAGGCGACGAUCCGUAACUGGUCUGAGAGGAUGAUCAGUCACACUGGAACUGAGACACGGUCCAGACUCCUACGGGAGGCAGCAGUGGGGAAUAUUGGACAAUGGGCGAAAGCCUGAUCCAGCCAUGCCGCGUGUGUGAAGAAGGUCUUCGGAUUGUAAAGCACUUUAAGUUGGGAGGAAGGGCAGUAAAUUAAUACUUUGCUGUUUUGACGUUACCGACAGAAUAAGCACCGGCUAACUCUGUGCCAGCAGCCGCGGUAAUACAGAGGGUGCAAGCGUUAAUCGGAAUUACUGGGCGUAAAGCGCGCGUAGGUGGUUCGUUAAGUUUGGAUGUGAAAUCCCCGGGCUCAACCUGGGAACUGCAUUCAAAACUGACGAGCUAUAAGUAUUGGUAAAGGGUGGUGGA